GGGACAUGGGCGGCGUGCUAUACAUGCAAGUCGAGCGAACAGAUAAGGAGCUUGCUCCUUUGACGUUAGCGGCGGACGGGUGAGUAACACGUGGGUAACCUACCUAUAAGACUGGAAUAACUCCGGGAAACCGGGGCUAAUGCCGGAUAACAUUUAGAACCGCAUGGUUCUAAAGUGAAAGAUGGUUUUGCUAUCACUUAUAGAUGGACCCGCGCCGUAUUAGCUAGUUGGUAAGGUAACGGCUUACCAAGGCAACGAUACGUAGCCGACCUGAGAGGGUGAUCGGCCACACUGGAACUGAGACACGGUCCAGACUCCUACGGGAGGCAGCAGUAGGGAAUCUUCCGCAAUGGGCGAAAGCCUGACGGAGCAACGCCGCGUGAGUGAUGAAGGUCUUCGGAUCGUAAAACUCUGUUAUUAGGGAAGAACAAAUGUGUAAGUAACUGUGCACGUCUUGACGGUACCUAAUCAGAAAGCCACGGCUAACUACGUGCCAGCAGCCGCGGUAAUACGUAGGUGGCAAGCGUUAUCCGGAAUUAUUGGGCGUAAAGCGCGCGUAGGCGGUUUCUUAAGUCUGAUGUGAAAGCCCACGGCUCAACCGUGGAGGGUCAUUGGAAACUGGGAAACUUGAGUGCAGAAGAGGAAAGUGGAAUUCCAUGU
RNAcentral lists this ribosomal RNA (660 nucleotides) under Staphylococcus sp. JSM 081052. RNAcentral's name for it is "bacterial SSU rRNA". It matches the Rfam family "Bacterial small subunit ribosomal RNA", at positions 30 to 674 of the family's 1533-position model. The record is from RNAcentral. Lineage: Bacteria; Bacillati; Bacillota; Bacilli; Caryophanales; Staphylococcaceae.